Long non-coding RNA from Populus trichocarpa (black cottonwood), 598 nucleotides. RefSeq lists it as uncharacterized. Lineage: Eukaryota; Viridiplantae; Streptophyta; Magnoliopsida; Malpighiales; Salicaceae. The transcript is spliced from 3 exons. The record is from RefSeq and is a predicted model, not a curated record.
CGCGUGCGUGAACACUGGUGAAGGUAAUUAAAUUACCUUCACACAGUGUUCUUAUAACACUAACAAUUACAUUUUGAAAUGAAGAUACAAAGGGGAUGAAGUCAUACCUGCUUCUGGAGAAAACGUUUGCAACGCCGAUGAUGAUUCUUGCCUUUUGUCUCCCCUUGUCUUCCUUUUUAUGACCACUUGGGCGAGGACAAUUUCAAAGAUAAUUCUCGUCACUAUAUGUGCUGUCCUAUUGUUCUCUCCUUCUCUCUUCCUGCUCCCCUGCGAGUUUGCCUUUGCCCAGCUUUUAUAAGGCCAGAGAUCGAUUGGCGCUGUAACGGUCGCCUCCUAAAUGCCCUGUAACUGGUCGCCUUCCAUGAUCAAACGCAAGCGUUGCUGCCAACGGAUGAAACGUCUCUGCCUUAAUGGCGGAGCCGUUGCAGAGCAAGAAGACGGUGAACAGUCGCUGCAAUACGACUCCGUUUUCCAGUUCUAAAGGCUGCUUUCAAUUUGGUCCUUGUAAUUCUUGUAAUUUUGCAAUCAAGCCCCUGGUUAAAAUGUAAUUGGAUCCUUGCAUUUCCGUGCUAUUUUCAAGCUAGUCCUUGGAUUUUAA